UGCGUAGGGGGCAAGCGUUAUCCGGAUUUACUGGGUGUAAAGGGAGCGUAGGUGGCAGGGCAAGUCAGAUGUGAAAACCCGGGGCUCAACCCCGGGAGUGCAUUUGAAACUGUCCAGCUGGAGUGCAGGAGAGGUAAGCGGAAUUCCUAGUGUAGCGGUGAAAUGCAUAGAUAUUAGGAGGAACACCAGUGGCGAAGGCGGCUUACUGGACUGUAACUGACACUGAGGCUCGAAAGCGUGGGGAGCAAACAGG
This 253-nucleotide ribosomal RNA is filed under the name uncultured bacterium. Its description in RNAcentral is "partial 16S ribosomal RNA". It matches the Rfam family "Bacterial small subunit ribosomal RNA", at positions 524 to 776 of the family's 1533-position model. The record is from RNAcentral.